This 72-nucleotide transfer RNA is filed under the name Camelus bactrianus (Bactrian camel). It matches the Rfam family "tRNA". From Rfam's summary of the family: Transfer RNA (tRNA) molecules are approximately 80 nucleotides in length. Lineage: Eukaryota; Metazoa; Chordata; Mammalia; Artiodactyla; Camelidae. RNAcentral also lists the same sequence under 2 other names. The record is from Rfam by way of RNAcentral.
GAGGGUAUAGCUUGGCAGUGGAGCGCAGGCUUAGCACGCGUGAGGUCUUGGGUUCACUCCCCAGUACCCCCA